CCUACGGGAGGCAGCAGUGGGGGAUAUUGCACAAUGGGGGAAACCCUGAUGCAGCGACGCCGCGUGUGGGAAGACGGUCUUCUGGAUUGUAAACCACUGUCCCCAGGGACGAAAAUGACGGUACCUGGGGAGGAAGCUCCGGCUAACUACGUGCCAGCAGCCGCGGUAAUACGUAGGGAGCAAGCGUUGUCCGGAAUUACUGGGUGUAAAGGGAGCGUAGGCGGGGAUGCAAGUUGGAUGUCAAAACUACCGGCUCAACCGAUAGUCGCACUCAAAACUGCAACUCUUGAGUGAAGUAGAGGCAGGCGGAAUUCCUAGUGUAGCGGUGAAAUGCGUAGAUAUUAGGAGGAACACCAGUGGCGAAGGCGGCCUGCUGGGCUCUUACUGACGCUGAGGCUCGAAAGUGUGGGGAGCAAACAGGAUUAGAUACCCGGGUAGUC
RNAcentral lists this ribosomal RNA (440 nucleotides) under uncultured bacterium. Its description in RNAcentral is "partial 16S ribosomal RNA". It matches the Rfam family "Bacterial small subunit ribosomal RNA", at positions 338 to 795 of the family's 1533-position model. The record is from RNAcentral.